GACUCUCUUGCAGUGAGGUAUGGCGUGUCCUCUCCAUGACAAUGUGAGGGAAAGUGAUGUGUGCCACUUCCAGGUUCUAUGGAACCCUGGAAUGAAGAGGAUGCCAACCUUGAAAAGCUAUUCUAGUUCUUUCAAUGUGCCAUAAUGGUAUAGAAGCAAAUGUUUCUACUGAGCUUAUGAUACCUGUCCUGAUCCUUGGACUACACCCUAGACUUUCUGUGUGUCUUACGUGGCUCCCAGCCUGACCUUGAUUGCCAUCAAUCUCCAGUGAGCACUUGGCCUUGGCUUGACCCAGUUUAAUGAUGACAUUGAGUGUCUAGAU
This is a long non-coding RNA of Pan troglodytes (chimpanzee), 322 nucleotides long. RefSeq lists it as uncharacterized. The transcript has 3 exons. NCBI's taxonomy places the organism in Eukaryota, Metazoa, Chordata, Mammalia, Primates, Hominidae. The record is from RefSeq and is a predicted model, not a curated record.